RNAcentral lists this ribosomal RNA (459 nucleotides) under uncultured bacterium. RNAcentral's name for it is "partial 16S ribosomal RNA". It matches the Rfam family "Bacterial small subunit ribosomal RNA", at positions 338 to 795 of the family's 1533-position model. The record is from RNAcentral.
CCUACGGGAGGCAGCAGUGAGGAAUAUUGGUCAAUGGGCGGAAGCCUGAACCAGCCAAGUAGCGUGCGGGAUGAAGGCCCUACGGGUCGUAAACCGCUUUUGCACGGGGAUAACACCCUCUACUUGUGGAGGUCUGCCGGUACCGUGCGAAUAAGGGCCGGCUAAUUCCGUGCCAGCAGCCGCGGUAAUACGGAAGGCACGAGCGUUAUCCGGAUUCAUUGGGCUUAAAGGGUGCGUAGGCGGGCGUUUAAGUCAGUGGUAAAAUCGUGCGGCUCAACCGCACCACGCAAUUGAUACUGGACGGCUUGAGUACACAACAGGCAGGCGGAAUUCGUGGAGUAGCGGUGAAAUGCAUAGAUAUCACGAGGAACCCCGAUAGCGAAGGCAGCCUGCCGGGGUGCGACUGACGCUGAGGCUCGAGGGUGCGGGUAGCGAACAGGAUUAGAUACCCGAGUAGUC